GACCCAUUUAACAAUUGCUCCGAAACUGAUCAUCUCCUCCUUCCAAAUCCCGUCAACAUUUGCUCCGGUCAUAGUACUAUCUCUCUCCGAUCUCUGCAAUUGAGAGGAGCUCAGCCAAAAUUCUCUGCACAGUUCUCAAGUAAGUAAUCUCUCUUCCAAUCUUCUCGUAUAAGCAUGAUCUAGUUUGAAUCCACGCUUCAGAUACAGAAAUUGUUAGCUUUAAGCAAGACUUUGUGUGCAAAAUUUAGCAAAGAUCUGGUGAAGAUCUACCCGAAAAAUGUCUUGUUUGGCACUUUCUCUGCAACCCACUAAUGG
This 315-nucleotide unclassified non-coding RNA is filed under the name Hevea brasiliensis (rubber tree). Lineage: Eukaryota; Viridiplantae; Streptophyta; Magnoliopsida; Malpighiales; Euphorbiaceae. The record is from RNAcentral.